GCCCCUGUGGCCUAAUGGAUAAGGCACUGGCCUCCUAAGCCAGGGAUUGUGGGUCGAGUCCCACCGGGGGUA
RNAcentral lists this transfer RNA (72 nucleotides) under Petromyzon marinus (sea lamprey). Its description in RNAcentral is "tRNA-Arg (CCT) (tRNA-Arg-CCT-20-1, tRNA-Arg-CCT-20-2)". It matches the Rfam family "tRNA". From Rfam's summary of the family: Transfer RNA (tRNA) molecules are approximately 80 nucleotides in length. The record is from RNAcentral. Lineage: Eukaryota; Metazoa; Chordata; Hyperoartia; Petromyzontiformes; Petromyzontidae.